This 433-nucleotide long non-coding RNA is filed under the name Lepisosteus oculatus (spotted gar). RNAcentral's name for it is "lncRNA (ENSLOCG00000021883.1)". Lineage: Eukaryota; Metazoa; Chordata; Actinopteri; Semionotiformes; Lepisosteidae. The record is from RNAcentral.
AGUGAUUGCUGAUUACUGACGGCUGGGAACGAUUGAGCGUGGUUGUCGUCAUCCCUGCCGAACUUUCGUUAUAUAAACUCCAUUUGAACAAGAAGACUAACGAUUGUUUUUCCUUUUGUGGCGUCGGGUCAGAAUGAAACACAAAUGGGUUUUCGGAGCUUUUCAACGCAAGCACUGAACGCCAGACGGUCAAACUUUCCCGAUGCUUUCCUGAAAAGAAAUGUAGAAACGUGAGACGGUCCCGACACAGGUUUGAAGCAGAAGUUAGGAAAACAGGGCACAUCAAGUCAAUGCAGGACCGUAGUACGACAUCACGCAGAACUCACUGGAGCAGGCGCCUUCUCAGCUUGACACUCCAGAAGAAAAACGUCAUCUGGCGUCGACCUUCAGAUGAGAGCUCGAGGACGCUCGUGGGGCGGUGGCACAAGGACAG